AUUGAACGCUGGCGGCAGGCCUAACACAUGCAAGUCGAACGAGUGGCGGACGGGUGAGUAAUGUCUGGGAAACUGCCUGGUGGAGGGGGAUAACUACUGGAAAGGGUGGCUAAUACCGCAUACCAUCGGAUGUGCCGAGAUGGGAUUAGCUAGUAGGUGGGGUAACGGCUCACCUAGGCCACGAUCCCUAGCUGGUCUGAGAGGAUGACCAGCCACACUGGAACUGAGACACGGUCCAGACUCCUACGGGAGGCAGCAGUGGGGAAUAUUGCACAAUGGGCGCAAGCCUGAUGCAGCCAUGCCGCGUGUAUGAAGAAGGCCUUCGGGUUGUAAAGUACUUUCAGCGGGGAGGCGUUACCCGCAGAAGAAGCACCGGCUAACUACGUGCCAGCAGCCGCGGUAAUAC
RNAcentral lists this ribosomal RNA (406 nucleotides) under uncultured bacterium. RNAcentral describes it as "partial 16S ribosomal RNA". It matches the Rfam family "Bacterial small subunit ribosomal RNA", at positions 30 to 526 of the family's 1533-position model. The record is from RNAcentral.